RNAcentral lists this transfer RNA (74 nucleotides) under Merluccius polli (Benguela hake). Its description in RNAcentral is "tRNA-OTHER". It matches the Rfam family "tRNA". Rfam says of the family: Transfer RNA (tRNA) molecules are approximately 80 nucleotides in length. Their secondary structure includes four short double-helical elements and three loops (D, anti-codon, and T loops). Further hydrogen bonds mediate the characteristic L-shaped molecular structure. tRNAs have two regions of fundamental functional importance: the anti-codon, which is responsible for specific mRNA codon recognition, and the 3' end, to which the tRNAs corresponding amino acid is attached (by aminoacyl-tRNA synthetases). tRNAs cope with the degeneracy of the genetic code in two manners: having more than one tRNA (with a specific anti-codon) for a particular amino acid; and 'wobble' base-pairing, i.e. permitting non-standard base-pairing at the 3rd anti-codon position. The record is from RNAcentral. Lineage: Eukaryota; Metazoa; Chordata; Actinopteri; Gadiformes; Merlucciidae.
GUUUCCUGUAGUGUAGUGGUUAUCACGUUCGCCCUCACACGCGAAAGGUCCCGGUUCGAAACCGGGCAGAAACA